This 1368-nucleotide ribosomal RNA is filed under the name unidentified marine bacterioplankton. Its description in RNAcentral is "bacterial SSU rRNA". It matches the Rfam family "Bacterial small subunit ribosomal RNA", at positions 9 to 1371 of the family's 1533-position model. The record is from RNAcentral.
GAGUUUGAUCAUGGCUCAGAUUGAACGCUGGCGGCAUGCCUUACACAUGCAAGUCGAACGGCAGCAUGAUCUAGCUUGCUAGAUUGAUGGCGAGUGGCGAACGGGUGAGUAAUACAUCGGAACGUGCCCUGUAGUGGGGGAUAACUAGUCGAAAGAUUAGCUAAUACCGCAUACGACCUGAGGGUGAAAGUGGGGGACCGCAAGGCCUCAUGCUAUAGGAGCGGCCGAUGUCUGAUUAGCUAGCUGGUGAGGUAAAGGCUCACCAAGGCGACGAUCAGUAGCUGGUCUGAGAGGACGAUCAGCCACACUGGGACUGAGACACGGCCCAGACUCCUACGGGAGGCAGCAGUGGGGAAUUUUGGACAAUGGGGGCAACCCUGAUCCAGCAAUGCCGCGUGUGUGAAGAAGGCCUUCGGGUUGUAAAGCACUUUUGUCCGGAAAGAAAUCGCACUUACUAAUAUUAGGUGUGGAUGACGGUACCGGAAGAAUAAGGACCGGCUAACUACGUGCCAGCAGCCGCGGUAAUACGUAGGGUCCAAGCGUUAAUCGGAAUUACUGGGCGUAAAGCGUGCGCAGGCGGUUGUGCAAGACCGAUGUGAAAUCCCCGGGCUUAACCUGGGAAUUGCAUUGGUGACUGCACGGCUAGAGUGUGUCAGAGGGGGGUAGAAUUCCACGUGUAGCAGUGAAAUGCGUAGAGAUGUGGAGGAAUACCGAUGGCGAAGGCAGCCCCCUGGGAUAACACUGACGCUCAUGCACAAAAGCGUGGGGAGCAAACAGGAUUAGAUACCCUGGUAGUCCACGCCCUAAACGAUGUCAACUAGUUGUUGGGGAUUCAUUUCCUUAGUAACGUAGCUAACGCGUGAAGUUGACCGCCUGGGGAGUACGGUCGCAAGAUUAAAACUCAAAGGAAUUGACGGGGACCCGCACAAGCGGUGGAUGAUGUGGAUUAAUUCGAUGCAACGCGAAAAACCUUACCUACCCUUGACAUGCCACUAACGAAGCAGAGAUGCAUUAGGUGCUCGAAAGAGAAAGUGGACACAGGUGCUGCAUGGCUGUCGUCAGCUCGUGUCGUGAGAUGUUGGGUUAAGUCCCGCAACGAGCGCAACCCUUGUCUCUAGUUGCUACGAAAGGGCACUCUAGAGAGACUGCCGGUGACAAACCGGAGGAAGGUGGGGAUGACGUCAAGUCCUCAUGGCCCUUAUGGGUAGGGCUUCACACGUCAUACAAUGGUGCAUACAGAGGGUUGCCAAGCCGCGAGGUGGAGCUAAUCCCAGAAAAUGCAUCGUAGUCCGGAUCGUAGUCUGCAACUCGACUACGUGAAGCUGGAAUCGCUAGUAAUCGCGGAUCAGCAUGCCGCGGUGAAUACGU